UUUUCCGGGUGCGCCUUCUAAAGUCAUCUUCCUUAAAGUUCGAGACAAAAGCGUAUUUUGCAGUUCAGACAGAGCUACAAGAACUUUCUGGGCCACGAAAUGUCAGACAAAACUAUAAAGCUUGCUUUGGUGAGCGCGCUGGAGGACAUAUCAAAGGAAGACUUUGAGAAGUUCUGCCACCAGCUUCUGGACCGCAGGGAAGCGCCACGCGUCAAGCGCAACAGGGUGGAAAAUAAAAGCCGCCUGCAGAUCGCAGACGUGCUGGUGUCCCACUUUACCGAGGAGGGGGCUCUUGGGGUGACUGUGGACCUGCUGAAAGCGAUUGGAUGUAGCAACGAGGCGGAAACACUCGUCACAGAAGCCGGUGGAGGAAAUUAGACAUCUCACCUGGACAGUGAAAGACUUCACAGCAGCUGGAAAACUGUGUGAAAGGCUCUAGUAUUCACACACAAGCUCCAACUACAGAUUUAUUUCAAAACAAUUGACUUUAUAACUGUUGUGUCAUUAAAUUUUAAUCCUAAAGAAUUUCAUAAAAUAAAUAAAAUAAUUUCAGAGAAACUAAAAAGAUUUCAUUGCGGUUCAACAGGUCCUCCUUUUAGUCAUAGCUCAAUGUUUUCAGUUUUUAUUGUUGCCAAAACUGGAUCGUCCAUCUGUUCAGAGGUAGCCUAUCAUAACAUUCUACACUCUUAUCAAGAAUGCAGACUUGGAAGCUUUCCCAAACCCUGCUUUGAGCCAAUAUACACUUCAAAAUCCACAGUGGACUACCUCAGAGGUUUUAAGUUGAAGGUUUAACCUUGUCUCUCACUUCCCUGAGCAUAACAUUGUAGAAAAUCUGUUCCAAACAAAGCCACACGCAAGAUGGACUGAGAAUCAGAAACAGAAGAACGCAGAAGGAAGAAAUCCACAAAACAAGAACUAAAAGAGACUCAACUGCUAUAAAAAGGCUUUACAUUGCUGUCAUACUAAAGUGGUGCUUGCAAGAACUGUGGGGUCCCUAAACAUCUACUUUGAGCCCUUUUUAUUAUUUUAAAACUGUAAAAGAUGGAAAUAAAGUAUUCUUGCUCAGAA
Non-coding RNA from Maylandia zebra (zebra mbuna), 1068 nucleotides. The record is from RefSeq and is a predicted model, not a curated record. NCBI's taxonomy places the organism in Eukaryota, Metazoa, Chordata, Actinopteri, Cichliformes, Cichlidae.